RNAcentral lists this ribosomal RNA (462 nucleotides) under uncultured bacterium. Its description in RNAcentral is "partial 16S ribosomal RNA". It matches the Rfam family "Bacterial small subunit ribosomal RNA", at positions 28 to 507 of the family's 1533-position model. The record is from RNAcentral.
GACGAACGCUGGCGGCGUGCUUAACACAUGCAAGUCGAGCGGAAAGGCCCUUCGGGGUACUCGAGCGGCGAACGGGUGAGUAACACGUGAGUAACCUGCCCCAGACUUUGGGAUAACCCUCGGAAACGGGGGCUAAUACCGGAUACGACACAGCUUCGCAUGGGGUCUGUGUGGAAAGUUUUUCGGUUUGGGAUGGGCUCGCGGCCUAUCAGCUUGUUGGUGGGGUGAUGGCCUACCAAGGCGACGACGGGUAGCCGGCCUGAGAGGGCGACCGGCCACAUUGGGACUGAGACACGGCCCAGACUCCUACGGGAGGCAGCAGUGGGGAAUAUUGCACAAUGGGCGGAAGCCUGAUGCAGCGACGCCGCGUGAGGGAUGACGGCCUUCGGGUUGUAAACCUCUUUCAGCAGGGACGAAGCGUAAGUGACGGUACCUGCAGAAGAAGCGCCGGCCAACUACGUG